GGACGAGAAGCUUGCUUCUCUGAUGUUAGCGGCGGACGGGUGAGUAACACGUGGAUAAUCUACCUAUAAGACUGGGAUAACUUCGGGAAACCGGAGCUAAUACCGGAUAAUAUUUUGAACCGCAUGGUUCAAAAGUGAAAGACGGUCUUGCUGUCACUUAUAGAUGGAUCCGCGCUGCAUUAGCUAGUUGGUAAGGUAACGGCUUACCAAGGCAACGAUGCAUAGCCGACCUGAGAGGGUGAUCGGCCACACUGGAACUGAGACACGGUCCAGACUCCUACGGGAGGCAGCAGUAGGGAAUCUUCCGCAAUGGGCGAAAGCCUGACGGAGCAACGCCGCGUGAGUGAUGAAGGUCUUCGGAUCGUAAAACUCUGUUAUUAGGGAAGAACAUAUGUGUAAGUAACUGUGCACAUCUUGACGGUACCUAAUCAGAAAGCCACGGCUAACUACGUGCCAGCAGCCGCGGUAAUACGUAGGUGGCAAGCGUUAUCCGGAAUUAUUGGGCGUAAAGCGCGCGUAGGCGGUUUUUUAAGUCUGAUGUGAAAGCCCACGGCUCAACCGUGGAGGGUCAUUGGAAACUGGAAAACUUGAGUGCAGAAGAGGAAAGUGGAAUUCCAUGUGUAGCGGUGAAAUGCGCAGAGAUAUGGAGGAACACCAGUGGCGAAGGCGACUUUCUGGUCUGUAACUGACGCUGAUGUGC
RNAcentral lists this ribosomal RNA (700 nucleotides) under uncultured Bacilli bacterium. Its description in RNAcentral is "bacterial SSU rRNA". It matches the Rfam family "Bacterial small subunit ribosomal RNA", at positions 69 to 754 of the family's 1533-position model. The record is from RNAcentral. Lineage: Bacteria; Bacillati; Bacillota; Bacilli.